GAUGGCGUCCCAUGCAGAGUGCCGUCCUCUGGGAGUGUUUGAGUGUGAACUCCACGCCUUGACAGCUCCCUCCUGCUACUUGGGGCAGAAGCUCCCCCGACACCCAGUGGAUGGUCCUCCUGGAGGAAAGCUAUGUCACAAAGGAUCCCUUCACCUCCGACAAUGUCAGAUUCCUGGUCCUUAGCUGGCGCUGCAGUUUGUGCAGCAGGCUGUGUGGCCAGUGUACUCGGAUGCAGUUUAUUCUACUUCAAGAGAUUCUGCCUCCCUUGUGUCCAUGAGAACAUCAGUGCUUUUCCUCAGGAAAUUCAGCAAGACUUGGAGUAAAGCUCCGUCAAAGAGGCCCCCCAGCCAGCCCGGUUCUCGGACAUUGAGUGCAGCCGGGGCUGGGUCAACUGGCAGCACCCUGCACGGAGCUCCUGGGCCAGCCUGCGCCAAGGAUGCUGCUGAGCCAGGAGCCGCUGUGCCCAGCCUCUUUUCUGGACCACUGCGAGCAGCACUGCAGCCCAGGGGAGCUGGAGUCCAGCUUGUAGCAGCCACAGGCCCAGGGAGCUGUGCCGAAAAGGUAGCCCAAAGGCAGACAGAUGCCAGACCAGACAGAGCCGGGAACCCGGCCAGGUGCCCCCGCAUGACCCUCGGGGCCGAGGCCUAAGUGAGUGCUGCUCAGAUGUGACUAAGAGGGAUGACCUCCUUCAGCGAGAAAGCUCCUAAGAGGCCACCUGCAGGUCCGUGUGGGGGAAGACGCCAUGCUGUCUCGGGACCAUGGCGCAAGGUAGGUGGCUGCAAUGGUCUGUAAGGAAAAUCACUGACAGCAGCUGCCUUCUGGAGCCAAUCUGGAAGGUCUAGAGCGGGAUAGAAUUACUUCCCAUCCUUAUGUGAUGCUUGGAAAAUGGUUUAACCUUGAUCAUGUACUAUGUUUAUAAUUAAAAAUCCAAAGAACCAGCUAAUGUUUGAAAAAGGAAUCUUCCACUGAAACAUCUGGGUACCUGACAUUCUCCCAGGGCACUCUGGACCCGGCAGUGGUUGGGGUCUCCCGGGAAGCUGAGUGCUGGCUUACAGCCUCUCUGUAAGCUCUGGCUUCAUCUCGGGCCCCUCCAAUCUGUCUCCCCUGACCCCAAGUCAGGAAUGCUGUGGGCUUCCUGCCCUCACCCCGCACCUCAUGACCGUCACGCUGCCUGCCUGCUUGCCCCCUGCCACCUCGAAUUCAGUCCUGGAUGCCUUCGAAGCCCAGCCCCACUGCGUGCCAGGGGGUUCCUGCAGCAUCCCCUCCUCCAGGCUCCCCAUCUCCCUGAAGCUUCCAGGUAGCAGUUGGUGGGGCACUGAUCUGUGAGCUCUGGAAUGUCUGCUUAGAUUUCUGAGAGGCAGGAACUGCUGUCUUUGUAAGUACUCAAGGCCAACUGUCACGUGAUGAAGGAAUGAAUAAAGAAUUUUUACUGA
This 1434-nucleotide long non-coding RNA is filed under the name Homo sapiens (human). RNAcentral describes it as "non-protein coding lnc-RPS27A-2:1". The record is from RNAcentral. Lineage: Eukaryota; Metazoa; Chordata; Mammalia; Primates; Hominidae.